AACAACAAGCUGAUCUGCUUGUCCAUUUGGAUAUAAUGAAUUCAGGAUAUUGCAUUGCUCCAAAACACCGUUGACUUGCACCUCAUAAUGAUGUCUAAAUGGGAAGAUCAGAUAGAAGUUUGUCUCAUUUUCAUUCAUUCUUGUUGAUGUUUAGAUGCCGUGUUUGUGGCGGCGUUGGAAGUCCAUGAGCUACUAGGCCUUGGCCUGUUGUUCCUGUCGGCAUUGGAGUACAGCUUCCAAUGUAAAUAUAUCGACAUUGAAGGUGUUUGAUUCAUUGCCAGAAUCAAAUCAAGAUUGACAUGCUAUCUUCAACAUCCUUGGCGAAGAUGCAGUGAACCACACAAAAAGGUUGAAUUCUAGAUUUGGUGGAGAUAUGUUCAUGAUUUGACGAUCUCAGAAGUCAAACAACAGUUGAAGACUUGUCCCCAGUGGCUUGAGAUCAGCAGAAUCUAUGCUACCGGAUGAAGCAUCCGCAUCCAUUCCAUAAAGCUUUAUAAGCUUAGCCAGUGGCAGUCUAUUUCGACUGCAAGUUGCAUUUCGACUGUACCGCAGUGUCUCAUUCACAAGCCAACGCCCCCAUCCAGAGACCUCGAGAAGUACCAGUUGAGUUGAUCCAAACGUCACGCAAUCUUCCCCACCAGAUAUUUGAUGAAAUGAUGGCCGGAUGGAUUCCACAGGACAAAUGGCUGAGCAGAUGCUACAAGUCACUCGUUGCGAGGAAGCCAUGGAUCAUCACCCAAACAGGUCUUCGGAUAAAAGCUAAAGCAGCAAAGGCUUCUUUUUUCGCAGGCAUCGAGCGGGGCGUCACGUGAAGCUGGAAGCAAAGGGGCAGCAGUAGCAGAAGCUGCUGCCUUUGUCGGCUGAGAGUGAGAGCUGCGGUUUCUUCAAAAUGUCUCCAAGAAUAUUUGACAUGGUUUUGCUUUAUUCUUUGGGCGGCAGACCCACCAUUUUCGGAGCUUUAUUGACCCAACUCCUGCGGUCCGAGAAGAAAGAGGAGGGCAAAUGGGCGGACGCCAUGUUGGAGCCAUUCAACCUCAUCCAGAUUCCUGUAUUCCUCUUUUUGGAUGUUUCAAUCUUCAACCCACCAGAUUCCAUUUACUCGACGACUUGGAAUUUGGGUUAUUCUUUUCUUUUACUUUACCUUUAUUUAUAUAUAGAAUGUGUGUAAUAAUAGCAUGAGUAUUUCAUAAAUAUGAUCUAUAUCAGAAAACAUACUCUUUCAACGUGUUGUGCUGAAGUUAUAAUAUAAAAGAGAUCUCAUAUUUAUUGAUAUAA
Musa acuminata AAA Group (dessert banana) is the source of this 1275-nucleotide long non-coding RNA. RefSeq lists it as uncharacterized. The transcript is spliced from 3 exons. The record is from RefSeq and is a predicted model, not a curated record. Lineage: Eukaryota; Viridiplantae; Streptophyta; Magnoliopsida; Zingiberales; Musaceae.